GACGAACGCUGGCGGCGUGCCUAACACAUGCAAGUCGAGCGAAAGACUUCGGUCUUUAGCGGCGGACGGGUGAGUAACACGUGGGUAACCUGCCUCAUAGAGGGGGAUAGCCUUCCGAAAGGAAGAUUAAUACCGCAUAACAUAUUUUUAUCACAUGGUAAGAAUAUCAAAGGAGUAAUCCGCUAUGAGAUGGACCCCGCGGCGCAUUAGCUAGUUGGUGAGGUAACGGCUCACCAAGGCGACGAUGCGUAGCCGACCUGAGAGGGUGAUCGGCCACAUUGGAACUGAGAAACGGUCCAGACUCCUACGGGUGGCUG
Molecule: ribosomal RNA, 317 nt
Filed under: uncultured Bacillota bacterium
Lineage: Bacteria; Bacillati; Bacillota
Description: bacterial SSU rRNA
Rfam family: Bacterial small subunit ribosomal RNA
Source: RNAcentral